This 457-nucleotide ribosomal RNA is filed under the name uncultured bacterium. RNAcentral's name for it is "bacterial SSU rRNA". It matches the Rfam family "Bacterial small subunit ribosomal RNA", at positions 44 to 493 of the family's 1533-position model. The record is from RNAcentral.
AUGCUUUACCAUGCAAGUCGAACGGCAGCAUAGAGAGCUUGCUCUCUGAUGGCGAGUGGCGAACGGGUGAGUAAUAUAUCGGAACGUGCCUAGUAAUGGGGAAUAACUAGCUGAAAGGUUAGCUAAUGCCGCAUACGACCUACGGGUGAAAGCAGGGGAUCUUCGGACCUUGCGUUAUUAGAGCGGCCGAUAUCUGAUUAGCUUGUUGGUGGGGUAAUGGCCUACCAAGGCGACGAUCAGUAGCUGGUCUGAGAGGACGAUCAGCCACACUGGAACUGAGACACGGUCCAGACUCCUACGGGAGGCAGCAGUGGGGAAUUUUGGACAAUGGGGGAAACCCUGAUCCAGCCAUUCCGCGUGAGUGAAGAAGGCCUUCGGGUUGUAAAGCUCUUUCGCAAGAGAAGAAAACUUGCUAUCUAAUAAAUAGUAAGUAUGACGGUAUCUUGACAAGAAGCAC